ACUCCUACGGGAGGCAGCAGUGGGAAUAUUGCACAAUGGGGAAAGCCAUCGAUGCAGCCAUGCCGCGCUGUGUGAAGAAGGCCAUUCGGGCUUGGUUAAAGACACUUUUCAGUAGGGGAGGAAGGUAGUGUAGUUAACACCUGCACUAUUUGACGUUACCUACAGAAGAAGCACCGGCUAACUCCGUGCCAGCAGCCGCGGUAAUACGGAGGGUGCGAGCGUUAAUCGGAAUUACUGGGCGUAAAGCGCAUGCAGGCGGCCUGUUAAGUCAGAUGUGAAAGCCCGGGGCUUAAGCCUCGGAAUUGCAUUUUGAAACUGGACAGACUAGAGUACUGUAGAGGGGGUGAGAAUUGAUC
This 356-nucleotide ribosomal RNA is filed under the name uncultured bacterium. RNAcentral's name for it is "bacterial SSU rRNA". It matches the Rfam family "Bacterial small subunit ribosomal RNA", at positions 335 to 672 of the family's 1533-position model. The record is from RNAcentral.